This 279-nucleotide ribosomal RNA is filed under the name uncultured bacterium. RNAcentral describes it as "partial 16S ribosomal RNA". It matches the Rfam family "Bacterial small subunit ribosomal RNA", at positions 506 to 784 of the family's 1533-position model. The record is from RNAcentral.
UGGCCCCCGCCGCCGUAAUACGGAGGGGGGAAGCGUUAAUCGGAAUUACUGGGCGUAAGGCGCGCGUAGGUGGAAUGUUAAGUCUCAUGUGAAAGCCCUGGGCUCAACCUGGGAACUGCAUGGGAUACUGGCAUUCUAGAAUACAGUAGAGGGAGGUGGAAUUUCAGGUGUAGCGGUGAAAUGCGUAGAGAUCUGAAGGAACAUCAGUGGCGAAGGCGACCUCCUGGACUGAUAUUGACGCUGAGGUGCGAAAGCGUGGGGAGCAAACAGGAUUAGAUA